Molecule: ribosomal RNA, 498 nt
Filed under: uncultured bacterium
Lineage: Bacteria
Description: partial 16S ribosomal RNA
Rfam family: Bacterial small subunit ribosomal RNA
Source: RNAcentral
AGCGAACGCUGGCGGCGUGCCUAACACAUGCAAGUCGAACGUGAAAAGGGAAACCUGCGUAACGUGGCGUACGGGUGAGUAACGCGUAGGUAAUCUACCCCAGAAUCUGGAAUAACCUGCCGAAAGGUGGGCUAAUACUGGAUAGAGCGAGGGAACUCGUAAGAGAGUUUUUCGGGAAAGGGAGCCCGCAAGGGCCUUCGUUCUGGGAUGAGCCUGCGUCUCAUUAGCUAGUUGGUAAGGUAACGGCUUACCAAGGCGAUGAUGAGUAGCUGGUCUGAGAGGAUGAUCAGCCACACUGGAACUGAAACACGGGCCAGACUCCUACGGGAGGCAGCAGUGGGGAAUCUUGCGCAAUGGACGAAAGUCUGACGCAGCCACGCCGCGUGAGUGAAGAAGGCCUUCGGGUUGGAAAGCUCUGUCGGAUGGGACGAACAUCGUCAUAGUGAAUAGCUAUGAGGACUGACGGUACCAUCAAAGGAAGCACCGGCUAACUCCGUG